UACGGGGGGAGCAAGCGUUGCUCGGAUUUACUGGGCGUAAAGGGCGCGUAGGCGGCCAGCACAAGUCAGUUGUGAAAUCUCCGAGCUUAACUCGGAAAGGUCAACUGAUACUGUGCGGCUAGAGUGCGGAAGGGGCAACUGGAAUUCUUGGUGUAGCGGUGAAAUGCGUAGAUAUCAAGAGGAACACCUGCGGCGAAGGCGGGUUGCUGGGCCGACACUGACGCUGAUGCGCGAAAGCUAGGGGAGCGAACGGG
RNAcentral lists this ribosomal RNA (254 nucleotides) under uncultured bacterium. RNAcentral's name for it is "partial 16S ribosomal RNA". It matches the Rfam family "Bacterial small subunit ribosomal RNA", at positions 524 to 776 of the family's 1533-position model. The record is from RNAcentral.